This 253-nucleotide ribosomal RNA is filed under the name uncultured bacterium. Its description in RNAcentral is "partial 16S ribosomal RNA". It matches the Rfam family "Bacterial small subunit ribosomal RNA", at positions 524 to 776 of the family's 1533-position model. The record is from RNAcentral.
UACGAAGGGGGCUAGCGUUGCUCGGAAUCACUGGGCGUAAAGGGUGCGUAGGCGGGUUUUUAAGUCAGGGGUGAAAUCCUGGAGCUCAACUCCAGAACUGCCUUUGAUACUGAAGAUCUUGAGUUCGGGAGAGGUGAGUGGAACUGCGAGUGUAGAGGUGAAAUUCGUAGAUAUUCGCAAGAACACCAGUGGCGAAGGCGGCACACUGGCCCGAUACUGACGCUGAGGCACGAAAGCGUGGGGAGCAAACAGG